GACUUAGAUAGCUGUGGGACCUCCAAUCCUCUCAACUUCCUCAUUGGGGCAAGACCUGCUGUUAAAAGUUGCUGUUUUGAUUUUGACUAAAGAGUUAACUUCGCUGACACCAGUGUUUUCUAAUUGUUGACCUUCACCUGACUCCGGCUCCUGACACUGGUCUUGGAUUCUGUUUUUGUGCAGCUGCAACUCUUGGGUCAAAUUCUGCCUGGACACACCUCAGUUCUUGGGCUGCCUUGGCUACAGUCGUAGCCGCUACUGCCCGGAGUCUCAGAACACUGAUUCUGGGCCAGAGGAGCAAGGACAUCAGCUGCAGAACUCAGAACAAACCAGUGUGGCUGUGGAAGGUACAGUGCACAGAAUGAUUCCUGCCACCCCCAAGAAGAGGCAGAGACAUAUAGCAGCGGUCGUGGCCCAAGAAAAGAGAGGAAAAUGCUGGAAGUAAACAACUGGCUGCCCAUACGGUGUCACCAGGAAAGGUUUGGCUUCUUGGACCAUGAUCUUCUUCCAUGAGGAAGGACUUCUGGCAAAAGAUGGGCUGCACCUCAGAGCAGUUGGCAAGAAUGUGUUUGCUAAGAGUCUUGUGUAUCUGAGAUCAGGAGAACUUUAAGCUAAAUCCUAAGCAGGAUGGAGACAAUAUUACAGACAACAGGGAAACACCUGUUACUGGGGAUAAUAGCUUCAGUGAUGCACAGGAAACUGAAGCAGUGCUACAGAAACCCAUUAAAGGGCAGAAAACUACAAGAUGGAAGCAGAUGGAGGGGAUGACUUUUUUGGAGAAGCUGCUAAAUUGUGGGCUGGAUGAGGCUACCAUUAGAUGCAUCUGUAGUUGGGUUGACUGGCAGAACCCAAAGAGUGUUCACUAAUGGUUCCUCAUCACCCUGGGAAAAAGUGACAAGUAGAGUUCUGUCAGGGUUCUGUCCUGGCUGCGUUAUUGUUCAACAUCUUUAUAAAUGACUUGGAUGAAGGAAUUGAGGAAAUGUUUAUCAAAUCUGCAGAUGACACCAAGCUGUGAGUGGCAGCCAAUGUCACAGAAGACAAAAUCAGGAUUCACAAUGACCUUAAAAUAUGCCCUUCUAAGUUCCUUCCAAAGUGCUGCACUUCCCUAAGCACAGAAAAAGACUACACUUUUGGUAAAAAUUGUUUACAUACAAACUCUCCGAAGGUUAGAUUCAUGUGCUUUUCCAUACAGCAGUCAGAAAACACAGGCAGUGAAACUUGGCUUAGUUACAGUGGUGAAAGUUCCUAAAUUAUUGGCAUAGGAACACAAGAACGGCUCAUAAAAGCCUUGUGGUCUGAGCCUGGAGCAAACAGCUGAGAACCUCUUCACUCGUUGAGCUUCUCUGGUAGACUGAAGGGGAACAAUAUAUUUGAUUAGCUCCCUCCCAAGAUGUGGAACCUAGCUAAGCCUAGCAGGACAGCUUACUCUAUGGUGUUAACCCCUUCAUGCAUUGAUUAGACUUAAGCAUGUUGGUUAUCCCACAAUAUGAGUGUGUGAGCUAAGCUUUCGUUAACAAAGACAUUCUUACCUUCAGGCUGUUAAAUUGUGUGCACCUAGACUCAGAGAAUUGGAGAUGGUAACUAGAAGUACACCUGGAUUCUUAUUUCCUUCUUCCAGAUAUUAAGCACAGCCUGAUCAGGGAUAGAAACCUCCUACAUGCAAUAAGUAUUCUUUACCACUUGUAGCUUCUAGUCAUCAUUCAGAAUUUGAUCUCAUAUCUAUACUUCUGGUUGUACAGGUGUAUGCAUUGUUUUAAUGCCAAUUGAUUCUUAUUUUCUCUUUUAAUUUGCCAUUAAUAUUUCCUUCCAUGAUGAUAGCAAAAUCACCACUUCCCUCACAAACAGUUUAUUCACACUAUGGCAGUUUAGUGUCUUGACUACUCUUAAUUCCAAAUAUAUGCUCUCCUCACAAUGUUCAUCCAAUUCUCCUUCUUGGCCAUCUUGUAUCAUUUACUGCCAGAGGUACCAACUUGAAUAAAAUAUUUUGGGGGCCCAGGUAAGCUCUGCCCCACAUAACUGAUCACAUGACACAGCACGUCUUGAAUGGUAAUGUCCAUCAACUUGGAGGGACCCUGGCCUCCUCAAAUAUUUCUUGGGGUGGGGCAAAGUCACCUAGGAGUUAGCUCCUAUGUUUACUGCACAAGUCAUAUUCUGAUUUCUUGUCUCUGACAUGACAUUUUAAGCUUCAUCAAGAACCACCACCACAAAUCUAUGUUGAAUCUUUCCUGUUUCUUGCUUUUUCUUCUCCCUAGACCUCACCUCUUUUAUUUUCAUAGCACAUUCACUAUGGAGGUACUAAAAUAGUUACCGU
This is a long non-coding RNA of Podarcis raffonei (Aeolian wall lizard), 2311 nucleotides long. RefSeq lists it as uncharacterized. Lineage: Eukaryota; Metazoa; Chordata; Lepidosauria; Squamata; Lacertidae. The transcript is spliced from 3 exons. The record is from RefSeq and is a predicted model, not a curated record.